AGGCUAGCCGAUGAAUCUUCUUACCUGAAUGUGUUUCUGCAGAAAUUUAAAAAGCACUGGCAAUAUAAAUGCCAUGUUACAAGCCUUCGUUAAGGUCCCUGAAAAUGGCUACAAGA
Hyaena hyaena (striped hyena) is the source of this 116-nucleotide small nucleolar RNA. RefSeq annotates it as small nucleolar RNA SNORA33. Lineage: Eukaryota; Metazoa; Chordata; Mammalia; Carnivora; Hyaenidae. The transcript has a single exon. The record is from RefSeq and is a predicted model, not a curated record.